Molecule: unclassified non-coding RNA, 403 nt
Filed under: Hevea brasiliensis (rubber tree)
Lineage: Eukaryota; Viridiplantae; Streptophyta; Magnoliopsida; Malpighiales; Euphorbiaceae
Source: RNAcentral
CUUCUUUGCUGGGACAAGAAGUAUGAGAAGGGUGAAAUGGCCAUAUGGCAAAAGAGAGUAAAUGCUAAAUCUUGUCCUGGUAGACGAGAUGAUUCUCAAGUUACUCUUUGCCAAGCUGCGGACCCAAAUGAUGUGUGGUACAAGAAAAUGGAGGGAUGCAUUACUUCAUAUCCUGAUGUUAGUAGUCGAGAUGAAGUUGCUGGUGGGGAAUUGAAGGCAUUUCCAGACAGGCUUUUUUCUGUCCCCCCGACAGUUGCCAGUGGCUUUGUUCCUGGAGUUUCUGUUGAGACAUACCAGGAGUACAACAAUAAUUGGAAAAAGCAUGUAAACUCUUAUAGGAAAAUCAAUAAGCUUAUUGAUUCUGGAAGGUAUCGUAAUAUUAUGGAUAUGAAUGCUGGGUUGG